GGAGUUGGUUGGGCAGUCGCUGUAUCUUUAGAAAGAUAGGGAGGAAAGUCCGGGCUUCACAGGACAAGGUGCCAGGUAACGCCUGGGGGGCGCGAGCCUACGGAAAGUGCCACAGAAAAUACACCGCCUUUUUAGGUAAGGGUGAAAAGGUGCGGUAAGAGCGCACCGCGUUGGUGGUAACAUCAAUGGCAGGGUAAACCCCACCUGAAGCAAGACCAAAUAGGGAAUAUUGAUGUGGUCCGCAUCGUUCCCGGGUAGGUCGCAAGAGGUGCUUGGUGACAGGCAUCCCAGAUGAAUGGCUGCCACACGGUUGUUUUCCUUCGGGGAGAUUUAAUUCGUGUACAGAACCCGGCUUAUAGACUAACUCCUUUU
This 372-nucleotide RNase P RNA is filed under the name Gammaproteobacteria bacterium. Its description in RNAcentral is "RNase P RNA component class A". It matches the Rfam family "Bacterial RNase P class A". Rfam says of the family: Ribonuclease P (RNase P) is a ubiquitous endoribonuclease, found in archaea, bacteria and eukarya as well as chloroplasts and mitochondria. Its best characterised activity is the generation of mature 5'-ends of tRNAs by cleaving the 5'-leader elements of precursor-tRNAs. The record is from RNAcentral. RNAcentral also lists the same sequence under 1 other name. Lineage: Bacteria; Pseudomonadati; Pseudomonadota; Gammaproteobacteria.